UACAGAGGGUGCAAGCGUUAAUCGGAAUUACUGGGCGUAAAGCGCACGUAGGCGGUUGGUUAAGUCAGAUGUGAAAGCCCCGGGCUCAACCUGGGAAUUGCAUUUGAAACUGGCCAACUAGAGUAUGUGAGAGGGGGGUAGAAUUCCAAGUGUAGCGGUGAAAUGCGUAGAGAUUUGGAGGAAUACCAGUGGCGAAGGCGGCCCCCUGGCACAACACUGACGCUCAGGUGCGAAAGCGUGGGGAGCAAACAGG
This 253-nucleotide ribosomal RNA is filed under the name uncultured bacterium. RNAcentral's name for it is "partial 16S ribosomal RNA". It matches the Rfam family "Bacterial small subunit ribosomal RNA", at positions 524 to 776 of the family's 1533-position model. The record is from RNAcentral.